CGGUGGCGGAUGGGCAUGCGGCGCAUUAGCUAGACGGCGGGGGGACGGCCCACCGUGGCGACGAUGCGUAGGGGUUCUGAGAGGAAGGCCCCCCACACUGGGACUGAGACACGGCCCAGACUCCUACGGGAGGCAGCAGUGAGGAAUAUUGGUCAAUGGGCGGAAGCCUGAACCAGCCAAGUCGCGUGAGGGAUUAAGGCCCUGCGGGUCGUAAACCUCUUUUGCCGGGGAGCAGUGGUCCGGACGCGUCCGGGCCGGGAGAGUACCCGGAGAAAAAGCAUCGGCUAACUCCGUGCCAGCAGCCGCGGUAAUACGGAGGAUGCGAGCGUUAUCCGGAUUUAUUGGGUUUAAAGGGUGCGUAGGCGGGCAUUUAAGCCGGCGGUCAAAUGUCGGGGCUCAACCCCGGCCUGCCGUCGGAACUGGGUGCCUUGAGUGGGCGAGAAGUAUGCGGAAUGCGUGGUGUAGCGGUGAAAUGCAUAGAUAUCACGCAGAACCCCGAUUGCGAAGGCAGCAUACCGGCGCCCUACUGACGCUGAGGCACGAAAGUGCGGGUAUCGAACAGGAUUAGAUACCCUGGUAGUCCGCACAGUAAACGAUGGAUGCUAUCUGUCCGGGCCGAAUGAGGCCUGG
RNAcentral lists this ribosomal RNA (630 nucleotides) under uncultured bacterium. Its description in RNAcentral is "bacterial SSU rRNA". It matches the Rfam family "Bacterial small subunit ribosomal RNA", at positions 216 to 842 of the family's 1533-position model. The record is from RNAcentral.